Molecule: non-coding RNA, 105 nt
Filed under: Geobacter sp.
Lineage: Bacteria; Pseudomonadati; Thermodesulfobacteriota; Desulfuromonadia; Geobacterales; Geobacteraceae
Also listed under: 1 other name
Description: SAM-I sequence
Rfam family: SAM riboswitch aptamer (S box leader)
About the family: The SAM riboswitch is found upstream of a number of genes which code for proteins involved in methionine or cysteine biosynthesis in Gram-positive bacteria. The SAM riboswitch acts at the level of transcription termination control. The predicted structure consists of a complex stem-loop region followed by a single stem loop terminator region.
Source: RNAcentral
UUCUUAUCAAGAGCGACCGAGGGACAGGCCCUGUGACGUCGCGGCAACCUCCCGCAAGGGAAGGUGCCAAUUCCUGCGGAACCGACAGGUUCCGGGAGAUAAGGG